RNAcentral lists this ribosomal RNA (253 nucleotides) under uncultured bacterium. RNAcentral's name for it is "partial 16S ribosomal RNA". It matches the Rfam family "Bacterial small subunit ribosomal RNA", at positions 524 to 776 of the family's 1533-position model. The record is from RNAcentral.
UACGGAGGGUGCUAGCGUUGUUCGGAAUUACUGGGCGUAAAGGGCGCGUAGGCGGCCGUUUGUGUCGGAUGUGAAAGCCCGGGGCUCAACCUCGGAACGGCAUUCGAUACGGGACGGCUGGAGACCGGGAGAGGAGAGUGGAAUAGCCAGUGUAGAGGUGAAAUUCGUAGAUAUUGGCUGGAACACCGGUGGCGAAAGCGGCUCUCUGGCCCGGUUCUGACGCUGAGGCGCGAAAGCGUGGGGAGCAAACGGG